GCAGCAAUCCAUGCCGUGUUGUGUCCAGGUGUAUGGCAGCAAUCCAUGCCAUGUUGUGACCAGGUGUAUGGCAGCAAUCCAUGCCAUGUUGUGACCAGGUGUAUGACAGCAAUCCAUGCCGUGUUGUGUCCAGGUGUAUGACAGCAAUCCAUGCCAUGAUGUUCUUGCAGUUUCCAGGAUCUCAGCGCGGUAUUCAGGUCCCUAACUGGGGAUGUUCCUGCUUGCACGGGGCCGAGUAGUGGUUUAAAGAAACACAACAAAAGACACUCAUGGGCCUGUGUAUUUCCUAUGGUGUUCAGGCACAUCUGUGCUUAUUACAGCUUGUGUCGGUCAUCUCAACGUGUCAGGGAAGAGGAAGCUGUUGGAAGUGAUGGAUUCCUGUACUUCACAGGAAAACAGUCGCCAACUUAACGUGGUACCUGUGCUACCACUUACAUAGAAGAGGUUUUCCUCCAAGUCCAGCUUUCCGUCCUUAUCUGUGGACGGGUGCUCCAGGGAGGUCUGCACAGCAGCGUGUGUGUCUGGCAGCAGUGAGUUGCAGUAAUGCUUGAGACAUGCAGAUUUCUCUUGUCAUUACAUAAAUAACACAUAAGUAGCAUCAGAAUGUGUUUUGGUAUGAGCAUGCGAUGCUGGAUUGCUGAAUGACAUGAGGUACAGCUGUGCACAAUGAAUGUGACUCUCCAGUACUUCCUCAGUUUCUUUAAGUGAAUCCCUGUCCUUCCAUGUGUGUUGAAAUGUGAGUGCUUUUCAAACAUGAGCUCCUGGCAUUGGCUUCCUGUCCUUCAGCUGCUUGCUCUCCUGAUCUGCCCAGCGCUGGACCUGGGGGUCCCUCGGGCAGCCCUGGGAUCCCGCACUCAGUGGCAGCAGCAUUUACACAGGCUGAGCCCAUGGCGCUCCCUGGUUGCUAAUUGAUCCAUGAGGACCUGCCUAUUUAGGCCCUCUAAUCAGGGUGUGGCUUUCUUAAACAUGAAGUGAGCGUUAAUUAACUCUUACUUUUGUUACUCCAGGGAUCUCUUUAUAGAAUCUCCCAUGCUGUGAUCUGGUGCUAUAUUGAAAUACGUUUGUUCUUGUGUCUUAAUUAAUGUCAGGGCUGAGGCAGUUGUGCUGGGCCUGGAGGAGGUGAGGGCUGACCUGGCUGGGUUGGGGUGGCGACCCAGAUCUGCCUCUGGCAAUUACAUAUUAAAGUUUCUGAUGCCUUAAUCCAUGUGGUCUCACUUUGAGCAUUGCCUUCCUUUCAGCAUCAGUGCCCUGUGAGAAUCUAGCAGUGAUUAGCAGCAGAAAGCCUCUCAGCCUGAACAUAAAAAAGGUUACUGUGACCUGAUGUCUGUG
This is a non-coding RNA of Coturnix japonica (Japanese quail), 1329 nucleotides long. The record is from RefSeq and is a predicted model, not a curated record. NCBI's taxonomy places the organism in Eukaryota, Metazoa, Chordata, Aves, Galliformes, Phasianidae.